RNAcentral lists this long non-coding RNA (2822 nucleotides) under Malus domestica (apple). RNAcentral describes it as "long non-coding RNA (MDOM_LNC011619)". Lineage: Eukaryota; Viridiplantae; Streptophyta; Magnoliopsida; Rosales; Rosaceae. The record is from RNAcentral.
GCCAAUGUCCUAUAGUAAGAAAUAUGAAACUAUUUUGACAAAAAAGAAAAAAAAAAAAAAAAAAGAAACACGAAACUAUGUAUCAAGUAUGAAGUACACCUCCAUUUACUGAGAAAUAGUUAGCUUAGAAGUUUACUUUUCCUUGAACACCUCCAAAAAAAAGUCCUUCACGAGUGACAUCCUGCCUUAAUGCUCGAACCUCACUAAAUGCAUCUUCUAUAUGUCUACUUCUAUCUGCAUUGACAUAAGCACAAAGAAAAAUAAAAUAAAAUCUUGUACUUCUUGGAUGGGAAUAUACUAAUUUGAUCUCAAGUAAGAGAAGUAAAUACGGAAAGAAAAGAUAAUCAUGUGGUACAAACCAAGUGGAUACACUCAAAUAUACACAAAAUUAUGAUAGUGCAAAUUCAUAUAAACAUGUAAGCCUUCUUUCUUUUUCAUGACGUCUACAAUUUUAUUUUUUUUCAGAAUAAAUUUAAGAACAGAAAUUACCUGAACACCAGUGAUAGGAUUUUUACUACUCAUGUGAACGGGCUUAAUUCUCCUAUUUUACUUGCAAGAAUCACAAGGUUAUUGUAGUAAACGGAUCUCGCAAGGUCGUCUCCACAUGGAUUAUUAAAUAAUUCGAAACUAAUCAGAUUCCAUUUAAUUAUUGUAAAGUAGAAGUUUAUGUGAUUGAUUUUAUAACCUAAUUAAAAUAAAAACGAAAUUAAUAAAUUAAAAUAAACAAUCUGCAAUACCAAAACUGGGGGAAAAAGAAAACAGUUUUGGGAGAAUCAAAUUACGAAAGCACUAGGGUUCCACCAUCACCUAGCAAUCCUAUGAACUUUUACCAAUUACUUAUGAUCUACACAUGCCACUUUAAAUGUUAGAUUUUCCUAAUUCAUAUUCUACUUGGAACCUCCAACAUAGAAUGUAUAUCAAACAUGCAACCCGUCCGGACGUUCGGAUCAAAUCUGAACAUGAAAGACUCAUUAUGCUUUAUGAAAAUCCUUUGAAAAACCAUGUAAUCCUUAAGACGUGGUAUUCAUCCUAAGUGAAAUUACAAUUAUUAAUCACAAGAAGCCAGCGUCAAUUUCAGGGAACCUUCCGACCAAAAUUGCAUCAAAUUACUUUUCUAAAGAUCCUAAUGGUGAUCAGGCAUUAAGACAAUUAGAUAGUUUUUAUCUCGGUGAUUAACAAUUCAAAGUAUGCAUGCAAUCAAUCAUAAGCAAUUAAAUAAAAAUCACAUAUUCAUGCUAAGGCUUAAGGCUUCGCCCUAGCAAAAGAAAUUAGUUACGCAUAUUCAUAAUUGAAAUCAUAGAAAAUAUAUUCAAGAAAAUGAUUGAAGCACCUUCAAGUAAAAAGUCUCCAAAACCCUAACAAUUCUCUCUGUCUCCAAGAAUUGUAUAAAAGAAAGCGUAGACAAAAAUUGUAGACGGUCUAGCAAUAUAUUUGCUAAGCCACCACACAAACCCUAGGAAACUAAAAUUAAUCAUCCAAUAAAAUAGGAAACAUAACCUUAAAUUAAAUGGUAAAAUUCGCCCAAAAUCUGAACAACCACGUUUUGGACCCAUAAGCUGCUCCAAAACUGGCCCAAUAAAGCUGGAUUUAAUGUUUGGAAUAUUCUGAACACUUUUCCAGAAGGCCACGAACCAAUCCGAGGUCAUCUUGGGCUCCAAAAACGCAAUUUAAGCCCAAAAACGUCAUUUUCCAGCACUUCGCAUCGCUCAUUUAUUUUAUCGCCAGAAAAUAACCGCUUGGUAGAAAAAUCCCAAAUUUUGAUACGAUCAAGCUAAGUAACUCACGAACGUCCUCCAACUGGAAUUACUCUAAAAUUCGUCCAUUUGAUCCUUUUUUUUCUCCAGAGGAAGUCGAAAGUCCUAUAUUGAAAAUACAAUUCAAAGUAUCAAAAUUCUUUCAAAAUAUUAACCAAAAUAUACUAAGAUUAGGGUAAAAUAUAUAAUAUAAAAUCUACUCAUCAACCAGUUAGAGGAUCACCGUAACCGGUGCACAGGAAAAGCUAGAAGUUAGUGAUACAAAAAAACAAACAACAAAGCGCAAAAAAAAUUCAUACAGAAAAUUCAUCAAUAAAAUGAAAAGAAAUUAGAGAAAAAAUCACCUCGGUUCUUCACUUCAUAUUGUCGACUUUUUUAACUUUUGGAAUGGUUGGAGCUUGGAGAUUUUAGUUUUCUUUUUUCAUAUGCAAAUAAUCACAACUGACUCGAGUUUAUUGAGUGGGAAGUUACUGGGCGAGGGAAAACACCGUAGAAACGUGUAGAUUUUAGGUUUGAAUUUGAAUCCCACGUCUACUGCAAAGAAAGAUUAAGAGGAUAAACGUGGGUUUGUGUUUAUCUUUUCUUUCUUUCUUUCUUUUUUAGGGGGGUGUAUUCAAUUAGAAUUCUCAGAGAGUUUCAGGGAAUUAAUAAUUCCAGGGGUAUUCAAUUAGGAAUUUAAAAGAUUUUAUAAAAAUCUUGGUGUAUUCGAUUGAGAUUCUUAAAGACUUCUUACAAUUCCCUAUAAAUUUAGGUGUAUUCAAUCAUAACUUUUUGAAAGUCUCUAAAAAUUUAGGUGUAUUGAAAAAGGAAUUGGAUUUGAGCGGAUUUGUGAUUUGGUGGAUUUUGGAGGAUUUCAAGGUGAUAUGUAUAAAUACCAAAGAGCUUGGCAAAUCUCACCUCAACCCUGGAAACUUUGAGAGAUUUUGAGUGUGUUGCUCUCUCCUCCAGAGAGCGUCUUCUCCAGUCUCUCCGAGCGAAGGUACAAUCUUUCUUCCUCUGCAACUUCUUCCCAUUAUUCUUCUGCUUCGAUUUUGUCCUUGUUGUGAAAGCUGCGAAUUUGUUUCUUUU